CAUAGGUUAAUGAGGCGAACCGGGGGAACUGAAACAUCUAAGUACCCCGAGGAAAAGAAAUCAACCGAGAUUCCCCCAGUAGCGGCGAGCGAACGGGGAGCAGCCCAGAGCCUGAAUCAGUGUGUGUGUUAGUGGAAGCGUCUGGAAAGGCGCGCGAUACAGGGUGACAGCCCCGUACACAAAAAUACACAUAUUGUGAGCUCGAUGAGUAGGGCGGGACACGUGGUAUCCUGUCUGAAUAUGGGGGGACCAUCCUCCAAGGCUAAAUACUCCUGACUGACCGAUAGUGAACCAGUACCGUGAGGGAAAGGCGAAAAGAACCCCGGCGAGGGGAGUGAAAAAGAACCUGAAACCGUGUACGUACAAGCAGUGGGAGCACGCUUAGGCGUGUGACUGCGUACCUUUUGUAUAAUGGGUCAGCGACUUAUAUUCUGUAGCAAGGUUAACCGAAUAGGGGAGCCGAAGGGAAACCGAGUCUUAACUGGGCGUUAAGUUGCAGGGUAUAGACCCGAAACCCGGUGAUCUAGCCAUGGGCAGGUUGAAGGUUGGGUAACACUAACUGGAGGACCGAACCGACUAAUGUUGAAAAAUUAGCGGAUGACUUGUGGCUGGGGGUGAA
This 619-nucleotide ribosomal RNA is filed under the name Escherichia coli O13. RNAcentral describes it as "partial 23S ribosomal RNA". It matches the Rfam family "Bacterial large subunit ribosomal RNA", at positions 165 to 825 of the family's 2925-position model. The record is from RNAcentral. Lineage: Bacteria; Pseudomonadati; Pseudomonadota; Gammaproteobacteria; Enterobacterales; Enterobacteriaceae.